Long non-coding RNA from Tympanuchus pallidicinctus (lesser prairie-chicken), 4102 nucleotides. RefSeq lists it as uncharacterized. The record is from RefSeq and is a predicted model, not a curated record. Lineage: Eukaryota; Metazoa; Chordata; Aves; Galliformes; Phasianidae. The transcript has 3 exons.
ACUUUUUUUCCUAAGUCAAGUGAGUUAAUGAUUAUGGAUCUCAGCUUGUAAAUGCCAAAGUCCAUUUAUUUCAUUCUGAAAGAACUCUGUAUGAACUCCUGAAUUUCUGUUGUCUGGGUGAUCUAACUUUCAUACUUAAUGUCUUUUUUUUUUUUCCUUUUGCCAGUGAAGCAACUGACCCUUCUGACACAUGGAACUGCAAAAUUCUUAAAUAAAACAGGAAGUUAAGAACUGAUCUGAACCUUCUGGCCUAGGCUCUUAUCUCAAACUGAACAGCAGGAAAGCUAUUUUAUUCUGAAGACAACUGUUGUUUCUAAGCAAGGAGAAGAAGAAGAAGUAUAGAGAAGAAACAAAUGCCCUUAAAUACAUGCUUUUGUAAUGCAGAGCAGUGUGGUCAUAUGGGCACAACCCUUCUUCUGGCUAGGAAAAGAGACAAAACAAAAAACAUGACAUUGAAACUCAGUUCACUGCAGACCAAGGACAUCAAGGAAAGCAGCACAAACCCACAACAAGCAUGCCAAAAUAGAAAGAGCUUGUUCAAGCCAGAGAUGAGACAAUCCACUUGUUAUACUUUGCAAACAUUAGACUCUACAAGUAUUUUCUCAGUGUAAAGAGAAGGUAAGAAAGCAGUAAAGACUGAGGAAGGUGUCCAGGUUAAUCAGGAGAGUCUCAGAGCUGCAAGAUGUUGCUUGUUUUUACUAGAAGACUGGAUUCAACAAGACAGACUUCCUAGCAAAACACAAGUCCUAAAACAGAUUGCUUGCAAGCUGCCCCCAGAGAAAUGCCACUGUGCGUUUUGUCCAGUCUUGCUCAUGUAGUACCUUCUCUCCUCAGGCAGCUCUAGCCUUUCAUUUUAGGCAGGUGGAUGUGCAGUUUCUGGCACCCACUGAAGCCACUGAGGCAUUGGCCUUCUAUGACCCAGGGACCAGUGUCAUGCUGGUUUGAAGACUGAUACAACACAACACAGUUCCACUACAGUUGCCACUUACCACUUUCUGCAUGGGUGCUAAGUGAGCCCUCAAGCUGCUUGGAGGUGGGGAAGAAAAAAAAGAUAGUCAAGUGUAGGAGACAAACCAGCUUACACUCCAGCGUGCACUACAAUUGAGAUCUGACUGCCAGCUCCUUUAUAAAGGAAAUCAUUCAGGUUUGGGUAAUUUCAUCACAGCCUAAUAUCAAACAAGGCAAUUAAUAAAUAGCCCUGAUAUUAACAAUUAUUAAAGAAGGCAAAUAAACAGUUUUAUCUUAAUCAGUUACAUGCACAAAUAUGUACUAACAGCCUUUAUUGAUAGGAAUGGGACUGUAUUCUAAAUCCCUGACAUUUUGCUGAUGAACCGAUAGCUUAUGAGAUCUUUAUUAGGAACUUAAAAAAAAAAAAAAAAAGCAUAUUUCACAGUGCAUUUUUACACGCAGUUCUCUUUAGUUUAAUUAACUAAAAUUCAGUAUUUAUUUCCUCCUAUUUACUGUAUUUCAACAACCUAAUGACGCUCUUCCAUUUUUUAUUUAUUUUUUACUUUUUGUUUUUUUUUCCAUCAUAACUGUUCUGGCUAAGUAUUUGGUGUUUUUAGGAAAAGCACAGGAGAGGACAGCCCAGAAAGAAAAAGCUAUGAAGUGGAAGCAAAAUUAACACAAAUUCAUCUAGAAUCUGUAUACUAUACAUGAUCAUAUUAUUUAUAGUUUGAAAAAAACAAAGGUAUUACUCAUGUUUAAAAUCCUUUAACAUCAGUAAGGGAAUAUAUGUGAGUGUAUAUGGGAUGUGAGCAUGAGUAUCCAUGUAUGCCUAUGGAAAGGUAGAUAGCAAGAGAGAUGCACAUCUCAAAGGUGGAAGGAGGGAAGAUCUGAUAAAAACAGUUUGGCUGGACUUUUCUUUUUCCAGAUACAAAUUUAAUUUGUAAGGGAACCCUGUUUCUGCUGGUAGGGAAUAAGACAUAUGAAUCUAUAAGGAACCUGGAGUUAUUUGAAGCCGGUCUGAAUCCAAACAGUUACCACUAGGGAAUGACAAAUGAUCAUUUCUGCAUUAAGAUAGUGCUUUCUUUCACAGUAAAACAGCCAGUAGCAUUUUCACGUACAUGAUAACAUAGGAAGCAGCUUUUGUAACGGAGAUGACCUGCAUUUUCUCCACGGCACAUCAGUUUGUAUUCUGACGAAUCCAGUCAUAAAGUGCUGUCACCUUAGUGUAUACACCAGGACGAUUGCGUCGGGCACAUCCUUCACCCCAGCUCACAAUGCCAGCAAGAAUUAGCACACUACGUGACACAAUGCAAAGGCAAGAGGAAGAAAAAUUACUCCCCGCUGGUGUCCUGUUACUACAGGAUUCAUAAAGCAACUCUUCGUAAGCUGAGCGGGGAGAAGAAAAGACAGGGAUGGAAAGGGAACUCUACUACCACUAAUCUGUUCUCAGACUGAAAACAAAACUUUCAUGAUGUUAAACAGGAAUAGAAGGAUAGCAAGAAUAGUGUGGUUAGGUAUUAGCAGCUUCAUUUUCAAGUCUGCAGCCCAUUUGUAGAGUGAGGGAAAGGAACAAAGACUCUAAGGGAUAUGCAGGUAAGAGCUGGCUUCUCAAAGAGAACAUUCUGGUUUGUAUAACAUAGAAAAUUAAAGAUUCCAGUUUAGUUCAGUGCACAAGGUCACAACACAUUUGAGCUCAAAAAUGCUUUGUGACCUUCACUGCACACCUUCAGUGAACAGAUAGUUCACAGAACUCCAAACAGUUUAUUAAUACAGCUGAUAUCUUCAGACUCUCCUAAUGUAUACAAGGCAGUUAACAGCCUCCAAAUUGAGCCAGAACAGUUAACCCUCUCUAAGGGUGCUGAUAUACUGGCAAUUUGGAUUAUCAAAGAGGCUGAUCUAGAGGCAACUUGAGAAAGGAGUCUAUAUAUUCUAACCAGUUAUACAGCUGCUUGUGAAAGACAGAAGGAGCUGUGUGAACGUAGAAAGAGGAAGGGUCCUGGAAAGAGGAACCAUGUAAAACCAAAGAACACCCAACAGUGAUAAGAUAACUAAGCCAGAAAGAACAUACACUAUUUCUCAUGGUAACUAUCACAUCAGCUAAAGAUGAAAGCUGUUUGGACAAUUCAGAUGAACUGUGAAUGGACUACACAGGUUAUAAUGACCAUGAAGAAAUAAAAGAAAUCAGAAUGCCAACAAGGCUUGAAUUGUAAUACAAUGGUUUUCAGGGUCCUCUAGGAAUUUCCUGAACUUCAAUGUCAUUCAUCUCUAGCACUGCACAGGAAACAUGUUUGAGACAGAAGAAAAAAAAAUAAUAAAUCUGUUACAGACAAAGAAGUUAAAGACCCAGAGAGCCAGCACACUGGGACACAACAUAGCAUAUUGUAUUGGAAACUGGAUUAAACAGUACAGUCUAUAGCAAAUUCAGUUAAAAUACCCAUCUAAAAAUCUAAGGGCACAUUUUAUGCAACACAUUUUGGGGGAACUUUAAGCCUUAGGUGUAUUACAACAUGUUUAAACAAAACAAUUCUAAGGUUUAAGAUUAUACAUAAACAGAACAUUAAGUCAACAAAAAUAAUGCUUCACUGAAUAAGAACCUGAAGACUACAAGAGGAUCCUACUACAGUCCAUUGUGUAUAAAGAAGUUUGACCCAUUAAGAGUUACAUACUGUAAAAAAUAACCUAUUGCAUUAAAACAGUAAACUUUGUAUAUUAUACAAAAGUUCUAUCAAAUUACUACUGUCCAAACUCAGUAACAUGUUUUUCUCCUUUUACUAAGAAUCUGGAAAAUUGACUGUGUUUGUAAUUCAGAAAGCAGAUAUUCGUCAUAGUAAAAUUAAAUACUGAUAAAUAGCACAAACAAUCUAACAACUAGGAAGGAAAAAGAAGAGUUAAGAUGGUUGCAGAAUGUCCAAAGGACAGUUUCUGAUUGUGUGCACAGAUAAACUAGGUCAUAUAACUCAUGAUACCAUGAUGUAAUCAAAACUCAUUAUACGCAUGAAUAAACACAUGAAAGAAAGAGGCAGCACUUCACUUGCAUUUACCAAAUUCACCUUUUGCAUUACAUGUUUGUUUGCAACUGUUAACAGUGUAUUUCUCAGACUGCUACAAUCCCAACACCCACAUAUAAAAAAAAGGAAAAAAAAAUCAACAUAAA